RNAcentral lists this long non-coding RNA (597 nucleotides) under Mus musculus (house mouse). Its description in RNAcentral is "long non-coding RNA chr11:14722616-14723213". The record is from RNAcentral. Lineage: Eukaryota; Metazoa; Chordata; Mammalia; Rodentia; Muridae.
AUGGCACCACCUGAGAGGUACUGCAUCCCAGGCGAAUGUCUGUGUAACUUGGAGGAAGGCAGCCCCAGCAAUUGCACCUACACACAGCACCUACACAAGAGGCUACAUCUUUUCUUUGCUGGCUGGUACCUGACAAAUGCCAGCAAGAAUGGCAUGGUUCCUGUGGUGUCUGUAAUGAGAGAAGCAGAUUCCCAGUUACUUCCAUGUGGGAGCUGUUAUCAAAUGUAAGGCCUCUAAUAUUAACUCACAUUUUGCCAAAGUACAUAUCCUGUAUGUAGGAUCCACACCACUUAAAAAUGCUUUUCGACAAAGUAUUUUCAAGGAAGCUAUCCGUGUAACUAAAAAAGGCAAGGUAGAAAUUUACAAGAGUUUCUGGUCAGGUUAAAAUAAUUUUGGCUAAAGUUAUCUCCCUAGGUGAUGCACAGUCCAAUUACCUGCUGAUUAUAGCUGAAAAUGAGUUAGGAGUUUUUGGUGGCCCACAGUGAGUCAGGUGUCUAGAUGGUUCUCAUCGGCUGGCGUGAAAUGCAGUGCCCCAAGACCCACAUUAAAAAUUCCCAAAAAGUAGCCAGAGUAUAGAAUCACUUCUUACAAACCUAA